UAGGGAAUUUUCGUCAAUGGGGGGAACCCUGAACGAGCAAUGCCGCGUGUGUGAAGAAGGUCUUCGGAUCGUAAAGCACUGUUGUAAGUGAAGAAUGCCAUAUAGAGGAAAUGCUAUGUGGGUGACGGUAGCUUACCAGAAAGCCACGGCUAACUACGUGCCAGCAGCCGCGGUAAUACGUAGGUGGCAAGCGUUAUCCGGAAUCAUUGGGCGUAAAGGGUGCGUAGGUGGCACGAUAAGUCUGAAGUAAAAGGCAACAGCUCAACUGUUGUAUGCUUUGGAAACUGUCGAGCUAGGGUGCAGAAGAGGCGAUGGAAUUCCAUGUGUAGCGGUAAAAUGCGUAGAUAUAUGGAGGAACACCAGUGGCGAAGGCGGUUGCCUGGCCUGUAACUGACGCUCAUGCACGAAAGCGUGGGGAGCAAAUAGGAUUAGAUACC
This 437-nucleotide ribosomal RNA is filed under the name uncultured bacterium. RNAcentral's name for it is "bacterial SSU rRNA". It matches the Rfam family "Bacterial small subunit ribosomal RNA", at positions 355 to 786 of the family's 1533-position model. The record is from RNAcentral.